CUAUGUCGGCGACCGGCGCACGGGUGCGUAACGCGUAUGCAACCUACCCAUUACAGGGGGAUAACACUGAGAAAUCGGUACUAAUACCCCAUAACAUCCAGGGAAGCAUCUUCUUGGGUUGAAAACUCCGGUGGUAAUGGAUGGGCAUGCGUUGUAUUAGUUAGUUGGUGGGGUAACGGCUCACCAAGACAACGAUACAUAGGGGGACUGAGAGGUUAACCCCCCACAUUGGUACUGAGACACGGACCAAACUCCUACGGGAGGCAGCAG
RNAcentral lists this ribosomal RNA (270 nucleotides) under uncultured bacterium. Its description in RNAcentral is "partial 16S ribosomal RNA". It matches the Rfam family "Bacterial small subunit ribosomal RNA", at positions 83 to 354 of the family's 1533-position model. The record is from RNAcentral.